CCUGAUCAGCCUGCCGCGUGUGUGAAGAAGGCCUUCGGGUUGUAAAGCCCUUUUGUCCGGAAAGAAAAGCUGCCGGUUAAUACCCGGGGGUCCUGACGGUACCGGAAGAAUAAGCACCGGCUAACUUCGUGCCAGCAGCCGCGGUAAUACGAAGGGUGCAAGCGUUACUCGGAAUUACUGGGCGUAAAGCGUGCGUAGGUGGUUUGUUAAGUCUGAUGUGAAAGCCCUGGGCUCAACCUGGGAAUUGCAUUGGAUACUGGCUGGCUAGAGUGCGGUAGAGGAUGGUGGAAUUCCCGGUGUAGCAGUGAAAUGCGUAGAGAUCGGGAGGAACAUCUGUGGCGAAGGCGACUAUCUGGACCAGCACUGACACUGAGGCACGAAAGCGUGGGGAGCAAACAGGAUUAGAUACCCUGGUAGUCCACGCCCUAAACGAUGCGAACUGGAUGUUGGGAGCAAUUUGGCUCUCAGUAUCGAAGCUAACGCGUUAAGUUCGCCGCCUGGGGAGUACGGUCGCAAGACUGAAACUCAAGG
This 531-nucleotide ribosomal RNA is filed under the name uncultured Lysobacter sp. RNAcentral's name for it is "bacterial SSU rRNA". It matches the Rfam family "Bacterial small subunit ribosomal RNA", at positions 382 to 906 of the family's 1533-position model. Lineage: Bacteria; Pseudomonadati; Pseudomonadota; Gammaproteobacteria; Lysobacterales; Lysobacteraceae. The record is from RNAcentral.